Molecule: ribosomal RNA, 490 nt
Filed under: uncultured bacterium
Lineage: Bacteria
Description: partial 16S ribosomal RNA
Rfam family: Bacterial small subunit ribosomal RNA
Source: RNAcentral
GAUGAACGCUAGCUACAGGCUUAACACAUGCAAGUCGCGGGGCAGCAUGGGGGUUGCUUGCAAUCCCCGAUGGCGACCGGCGCACGGGUGAGUAACGCGUAUUCAACCUGCCCUUCACCACGGGAUAACCCGGCGAAAGUCGGACUAAUACCGUAUGUUGUCCAUUGACGGCAUCCGAUUUGGACGAAAGGCUUGGCGGUGAGGGAUGGGGAUGCGUCCGAUUAGCCAGACGGCGGGGUAACGGCCCACCGUGGCUACGAUCGGUAGGGGUUCUGAGAGGAAGGUCCCCCACACUGGAACUGAGACACGGUCCAGACUCCUACGGGAGGAAGCAGUGAGGAAUAUUGGUCAAUGGGCGUAAGCCUGAACCAGCCAAGUAGCGUGCAGGAGGACGGCCCUAUGGGUUGUAAACUGCUUUUAUGCGGGGAUAAAGUGGCCCACGUGUGGGCUUUUGCAGGUACCGCAUGAAUAAGGACCGGCUAAUUCCGUG